GACGAACGCUGGCGGCGUGCCUAAUACAUGCAAGUAGAACGCUGAAGAGAGGAGCUUGCUCUUCUUGGAAGAGUUGCGAACGGGUGAGUAACGCGUAGGUAACCUGCCUUGUAGCGGGGGAUAACUAUUGGAAACGAUAGCUAAUACCGCAUAACAAUGGAUGACCCAUGUCAUUUAUUUGAAAGGGGCAACUGCUCCACUACAAGAUGGACCUGCGUUGUAUUAGCUAGUAGGGGAGGUAACGGCUCACCUAGGCCACGAUACAUAGCCGACCUGAGAGGGUGAUCGGCCACACUGGGACUGAGACACGGCCCAGACUCCUACGGGAGGCAGCAGUAGGGAAUCUUCGGCAGUGGGGGCAACCCUGACCGAGCAACGCCGCGUGAGUGAAGAAGGUUUUCGGAUCGUAAAGCUCUGUUGUAAGUCAAGAACGAGUGUGAGAGUGGAAAGUUCACACUGUGACGGUAGCUUACCAGAAAGGGACGGCUAACUACGUGCCAGCAGCCGCGGUAA
This 513-nucleotide ribosomal RNA is filed under the name uncultured bacterium. RNAcentral describes it as "partial 16S ribosomal RNA". It matches the Rfam family "Bacterial small subunit ribosomal RNA", at positions 28 to 523 of the family's 1533-position model. The record is from RNAcentral.